Molecule: ribosomal RNA, 430 nt
Filed under: uncultured Desulfobacca sp.
Lineage: Bacteria; Pseudomonadati; Thermodesulfobacteriota; Desulfobaccia; Desulfobaccales; Desulfobaccaceae
Description: bacterial SSU rRNA
Rfam family: Bacterial small subunit ribosomal RNA
Source: RNAcentral
UGAGGAAUAUUGCGCAAUGGGGGAAACCCUGACGCAGCGAUGCCGCGUGGGUGAAGAAGGCCUUCGGGUCGUAAAGCCCUGUCGGGUGGGAAGAACAGUCUGGGAGUUAAUACCUCUCAGGUUUGACGGUACCACCGAAGGAAGCACCGGCUAACUCCGUGCCAGCAGCCGCGGUAAGACGGAGGGUGCGAGCGUUAUUCGGAAUCAUUGGGCGUAAAGGGUGUGCAGGCGGCUGGUCAAGUCAGAUGUGAAAGCCCAGGGCUUAACCCUGGAAGUGCAUUUGAAACUGGUCGGCUUGAGUUCGGGAGAGGGAAGCGGAAUUCCGGGUGUAGAGGUGAAAUUCGUAGAUAUCCGGAGGAACACCGGUGGCGAAGGCGGCUUCCUGGACCGAAACUGACGCUGAGACACGAAAGCGUGGGGAGCAAACAGG